CUGGCGGCGUGCUUAACACAUGCAAGUCGAACGAUGAUCCCAGCUUGCUGGGGGAUUAGUGGCGAACGGGUGAGUAACACGUGAGUAACCUGCCCUUGACUCUGGGAUAAGCCUGGGAAACUGGGUCUAAUACCGGAUAUGACCGUCUGACGCAUGUCAGGUGGUGGAAAGCUUUUGUGGUUUUGGAUGGACUCGCGGCCUAUCAGCUUGUUGGUGGGGUAAUGGCCUACCAAGGCGACGACGGGUAGCCGGCCUGAGAGGGUGACCGGCCACACUGGGACUGAGACACGGCCCAGACUCCUACGGGAGGCAGCAGUGGGGAAUAUUGCACAAUGGGCGCAAGCCUGAUGCAGCGACGCCGCGUGAGGGAUGACGGCCUUCGGGUUGUAAACCUCUUUCAGUAGGGAAGAAGCGAAAGUGACGGUACCUGCAGAAGAAGCGCCGGCUAACUACGUGCCAGCAGCCGCGGUAAUACGUAGGGCGCAAGCGUUAUCCGGAAUUAUUGGGCGUAAAGAGCUCGUAGGCGGUUUGUCGCGUCUGCUGUGAAAGACCGGGGCUCAACUCCGGUUCUGCAGUGGGUACGGGCAGACUAGAGUGAUGUAGGGGAGACUGGAAUUCCUGGUGUAGCGGUGAAAUGCGCAGAUAUCAGGAGGAACACCGAUGGCGAAGGCAGGUCUCUGGGCAUUAACUGACGCUGAGGAGCGAAAGCAUGGGGAGCGAACAGGAUUAGAUACCCUGGUAGUCCAUGCCGUAAACGUUGGGCACUAGGUGUGGGGGACAUUCCACGUUUUCCGCGCCGUAGCUAACGCAUUAAGUGCCCCGCCUGGGGAGUACGGCCGCAAGGCUAAAACUCAAAGGAAUUGACGGGGGCCCGCACAAGCGGCGGAGCAUGCGGAUUAAUUCGAUGCAACGCGAAGAACCUUACCAAGG
Molecule: ribosomal RNA, 930 nt
Filed under: Paenarthrobacter nitroguajacolicus
Lineage: Bacteria; Bacillati; Actinomycetota; Actinomycetes; Micrococcales; Micrococcaceae
Description: bacterial SSU rRNA
Rfam family: Bacterial small subunit ribosomal RNA
Source: RNAcentral